GAUGAACGCUAGCGGGAGGCCUAACACAUGCAAGCCGAGCGGUAGAGUCUCUUCGGAGCCUUGAGAGCGGCGCACGGGUGCGGAACACGUGUGUAACCUGCCUUUAUCUGGGGGAUAGCCUUUCGAAAGGAAGAUUAAUACCCCAUAAUAUACUGGAUGGCAUCAUCUGGUAUUGAAAACUCCGGUGGAUAGAGAUGGGCACGCGCAAGAUUAGAUAGUUGGUGAGGUAACGGCUCACCAAGUCAGCGAUCUUUAGGGGGCCUGAGAGGGUGAUCCCCCACACUGGUACUGAGACACGGACCAGACUCCUACGGGAGGCAGCAGUGAGGAAUAUUGGACAAUGGGUGAGAGCCUGAUCCAGCCAUCCCGCGUGAAGGACGACGGCCCUAUGGGUUGUAAACUUCUUUUGGAUAGGGAUAAACCUAGAUACGUGUAUCUAGCUGAAGGUACUAGACGAAUAAGCACCGGCUAACUCCGUG
RNAcentral lists this ribosomal RNA (479 nucleotides) under uncultured bacterium. RNAcentral's name for it is "partial 16S ribosomal RNA". It matches the Rfam family "Bacterial small subunit ribosomal RNA", at positions 28 to 507 of the family's 1533-position model. The record is from RNAcentral.